RNAcentral lists this ribosomal RNA (407 nucleotides) under uncultured bacterium. RNAcentral's name for it is "bacterial SSU rRNA". It matches the Rfam family "Bacterial small subunit ribosomal RNA", at positions 9 to 441 of the family's 1533-position model. The record is from RNAcentral.
GAGUUUGAUCCUGGCUCAGCAUGAACGCUGGCGGUAUGCCUAACACAUGCAAGUCGUACGAGAGUUUUUAACUCAAGUGGCGGACGGGUGAGUAACACGUGAGAAUUUGCCUUUAGGAGGGGGACAACAGCUGGAAACGGUUGCUAAUACCCCAUAUGCUUCCGAGUGAAAUGAAUUUAUUCGCCUAAAGAGAAGCUCGCGGCUGAUUAGCUUGUUGGUAGGGUAAGAGCCUACCAAGGCGACGAUCAGUAUCUGGUUUGAGAGGACGAUCAGACACACUGGAACUGAGACACGGUCCAGACUCCUACGGGAGGCAGCAGUGGGGAAUUUUCCGCAAUGGGCGAAAGCCUGACGGAGCAAUACCGCGUGAGGGAAGACGGACUAUGGGUUGUAAACCUCUUUUUUCA